This 74-nucleotide transfer RNA is filed under the name Rhinichthys osculus (speckled dace). Its description in RNAcentral is "tRNA-Ile". It matches the Rfam family "tRNA". Rfam says of the family: Transfer RNA (tRNA) molecules are approximately 80 nucleotides in length. Their secondary structure includes four short double-helical elements and three loops (D, anti-codon, and T loops). Lineage: Eukaryota; Metazoa; Chordata; Actinopteri; Cypriniformes; Leuciscidae. The record is from RNAcentral.
AGGAACUGUGCCCGAGUGCCCAGGGACCACUUUGAUAGAGUGGCUAACAGGGGUUAAAAUCCCCUUAGUUCUUA